Molecule: small nucleolar RNA, 75 nt
Filed under: Xenopus tropicalis (tropical clawed frog)
Lineage: Eukaryota; Metazoa; Chordata; Amphibia; Anura; Pipidae
Description: Small nucleolar RNA SNORD61 (ENSXETG00000035667.2)
Rfam family: Small nucleolar RNA SNORD61
About the family: U61 belongs to the C/D class of snoRNA which contain the C (UGAUGA) and D (CUGA) box motifs.
Source: Rfam by way of RNAcentral
GCUAUGAUGAAUAAAAGGCAUUGAUCAGGUCUUGAACUGAUAAAGCCAUUUUGUCCUCUAAGAAGUUCUGAGCUU